Malaclemys terrapin pileata is the source of this 1965-nucleotide long non-coding RNA. RefSeq lists it as uncharacterized. The record is from RefSeq and is a predicted model, not a curated record. NCBI's taxonomy places the organism in Eukaryota, Metazoa, Chordata, Testudines, Emydidae. The transcript is spliced from 3 exons.
GCUCGUCCUGCCCGGGCUCGCCCCGCGCCGCGCCGCUCCGCCGGGCUCGCCGCUGCCUCCCUGGCCGGAUGAAGGGCUUCUGCAACAGGCUGACCUUUUUGAGGAAUAGGCUAAACCUGUUGGAGAGCCAGAAUUUGGGACCUUUCCAAAAUCAUGCAGUCUGGAAAGCUACACGUAUUUUCCUUUGAGUAGAGGACAAUGAAAACACAGCAUUGGAGAUCACCAAGACUGCCUUCAAUUGCUUUACACUGCAAACAACCACUAAAUCCAACCUAAAUGCACAUGCACAAACAGAACAUUGCGGCAGGGAUGGGAAGAUUCUUACUAGUGACCAGUUGAGACUCCAAACUUGUUGAAGUGCUUGGAAACAGCUGAAAUACAGAAUUUUUUUAUCUUAAAGUGUAUUUGCAUAUACAGUAACACUGCACUGUUCAGACUACGAAUGUGAAUUAGUCUGCCACUGACUAUCUACUUAAAGAUGCAAGACCAAAUGUCAGUUAGAACCCCUGGCUCAUGUAGGAUUUAUACCUGUGUCAGUAGGGCUCCAUUUGCAUUACUUCCUUCUAUUCCAGCUGCCAAGCUGUCCCAAAUCAAGUGACUGAUACUGGUUUGCAACUUGUCACAGAAGGAUUAAAGUUACAGGUUUAUCUUUCACCAAGAUACUACUUUCAGUUUCUAAUUUCAGAUUAGAACACCAGAGUGCAAUCUCCCCAGCAUCUCUCCCAGGCAGCCAGUUUUACAUGUUGUUAAUGCUACAGUAUGCUGUCUGCAAGAUCAGAUAAACUAGCGGCUGUGUGGGCUCUGAGGAGCAGAGCCAAUACCUUUCUGUUUAUGCAUUUUUUCCCUAGAGCUCCGUUAGCAGUUGGAUUAGAUGAUCUGUAGACAUUUUCCUGUUUUAAUUUCUAUGGACUUCAAGACGCUUUGCCAAAAUCAUUGGGCUGAUACAUUAAAUACUAUCCUACCGCCUUCACGAUACCCCCACUGAAUCCAUAUACACCCACACCCACCUCCUCCUCCCCCAAAGAUGGUAAAUGUAGACAGCCUUUGAGUACACAAGGUGUGUUCUUAUCUGACACAGUAACUGUACCCCAAAACAAUGAGCUUUUUCUUUGUUCGUUGGUUACUUCCCUAGAUGAUUAAUUUAUCUUUUAACAACUGCUAAUGGGGAACUUUGAGAUAAUCACAUUCUCCUAUCAUGUAUUUAAAAUUUUUCCUUCUUGAUGUAAGAUAAUGUUAUCUAAGUAUAAUGCUGUGACAUGCAUAAAUGUGCAUGUCAUUUGUAAAACACUGAUAAGAGAAGUGUCCAAGCACUGGAAAAUUGGAAAUUCUCAAUCAUCACAAGGGUCACAACGAACAGCUUACAUUCAUAAUGUAUUUGAUUUUUUUUUUUUAUUUUUUUUUUUUGCAGUGUUAUUGUAGCUAUGUUGGUCCCAGGAUAUGAGAGAGAAUAUAGAUGAGGUAACAUUGUGAACUUAACAAUUGUAACAGAUGCUACUCUGAAACCUGUCAUGAGGUAACAUUGUGAACUUAAAUUCAUAGCUCGGCUAGACACCAUUGACUUAACAAUUUGCCUUUAUAGCUUACUACAACAGUUUGUAACAUACCACACUGCCUGAUACCCUUAAUUGCCCACUUCAACCCCUUUAUGCAUAACAAUCUAACCUGCAAAAAGAACAGGAGUUCUUCGGAUGCAUAUAGAAGUGGGCUGUAGUCCACGAAAGCUUAUGCUCUAAUAAAUCUGUUAGUCUCUAAGGUGCCACAAGUACUCUUGUUCUUUUUGCGGAUACAGACUAACACGGCUGCUACUCUGAAACCAAUCUAACCUGCAAUUGCCCACUUCAUUCCAAGUGACCAUCUCCACCAUGUGUUACCACGUCUGCUUUAUUCCACUCUGUAUGCAUCCGAAGAAGUGGGCUGUAGUCCACGAAAGCUUAUGCUCUAAUAAAUUUGUUAGUCUCUAAGGUG